This 1120-nucleotide long non-coding RNA is filed under the name Neogobius melanostomus (round goby). Its description in RNAcentral is "lncRNA (ENSNMLG00000018437.1)". The record is from RNAcentral. Lineage: Eukaryota; Metazoa; Chordata; Actinopteri; Gobiiformes; Gobiidae.
UAUUUAAUUCAUUAUGAAAAAAUAAAAUCGAAUCGAAAAUCGAGAUUGAUCAACAUGGGGAAAAUAAUCGUGAUUAUUUUUUUUCCUAAAUCGUCCAGCCCUUCUCUGUAUAGUUUUAGUAUCAUUCCUCCUGCUGUGUAAAUUACUGAAGCAGCAACACUUAAUGUGACAGAACCCAAAUCCUUAUCACACAUUUUCUUGCUCUGUAUAAAUAGUAUAAGAAGGUCACGAGCUCAACAGUAAAAUCCCUUUCCAAAUAUUCCCGUACAUUUUUCAAACAUUAUGAAUAUUAAGAAUCUAAAGGCAUGAUGGAGGCUGAUCAGCUAAGUUCAGCGACUGGAUUCCCGGCGUGGAAUAUUCACACUGAUCAUAGCGUGAAUAAUUUCAAAGAAAGCUUUUAUGCAGAUACCACAGAUUUUCCAAGUAUCGGGGUUUACCUAGACCAAACCUAUCCGAUACAUGCAGACAAUAAAACCCAUAGAAUCAAGCAGCAUACGUCACAGUGCAUAGAUUUUGUUUCAUCUGCGUAAUGAUCAUAGGUUUGGGCAUAUUUUUACAGGCUUUUUUACUGUUUUUAUUCACUUGCUGUGGUAUCAGACUGGUACUCGGUAUCGGCGACAGUAUGAACCCAAGUAUUGGAUCAGACAACACUAUUAAAGGAAUAGGCCGCCGUUUUUCCAUACUGAGAUAUGUUCUUACCUGAGCUUAGAUGAGUUGAUACCAUAGACAUAUUAUUAAUAGACCGUCAUUACUCACUCCUCCCCGUUUACCAUAAUGACCACGUUCGAGGGGGAAAUCAUGGCGGAUUUACAGACUCCUCCUCCCCAGCUCUGACGAAGCAUGUUCCUAAUAAGGGCAUAAGGGCGGGAUCUUCACUGUAGACUCGGCCCUUGCGUGACGUGUAGCUCGCGCAGCUCCAAUGCUAACAGUCCGACCCCCGUUAAGUAUGAGAUUUCUAAAAUGUAUCCUACGAUAACCAGCCCGGUGCCUCUGAUUGUGUCUAACCCAGCGUAAUCACAGGAGGAAUAUCUAGCUGUAGACAGUUCCAAAAAAUUAGGCACCGAGCAUUAAAGUUGUUUUUAACGUGUCUAAAGUGCAAUGGAUUCCAAUGGGGGACUAG